RNAcentral lists this ribosomal RNA (468 nucleotides) under uncultured bacterium. RNAcentral's name for it is "partial 16S ribosomal RNA". It matches the Rfam family "Bacterial small subunit ribosomal RNA", at positions 28 to 507 of the family's 1533-position model. The record is from RNAcentral.
GACGAACGCUGGCGGCGUGCUUAACACAUGCAAGUCGAACGGAAAGGCCCUGCUUUUGUUGUGUUCUCGAUUGGCGAACGGGUGAGUAACACGUGUGUAACCUGCCCUUGACUUUGGGAUAACUUCUGGAAACUGGGGCUAAUACCGGAUAGGAUCUCCUGCUGCAUGUUGGUGGUUGGAAAGUUUCGGCGGUUGGGUAUGGACUCGCGGCUUAUCCGCUUGUUGGUGGGGUAGUUGCUUACCAAGGGUUUGACGGGUAGCCGGCCUGAGAGGGUGAACGGGCACAUUGGGACUGAGAUAGGGACCAGAAUGCAACGGGAGGCAGCAGGGGGGAAUAUUGCACAAUGGGGGGAAGCCUGAUGCAGAAACGCCGGGUGCGGGAUGACGGCCUUCGGGUUGAAAACCGAUUUCGACUGUGACGAAGAGUGAGUGACGGUAAUGGGUAAAGAAGCACCGGCUAACUACGUG